RNAcentral lists this ribosomal RNA (613 nucleotides) under uncultured bacterium. RNAcentral's name for it is "bacterial SSU rRNA". It matches the Rfam family "Bacterial small subunit ribosomal RNA", at positions 338 to 943 of the family's 1533-position model. The record is from RNAcentral.
CCUACGGGAGGCAGCAGUAGGGAAUCUUCCGCAAUGGACGAAAGUCUGACGGAGCAACGCCGCGUGAACGAUGAAGGCCUUCGGGUCGUAAAGUUCUGUUGUUAGGGAAGAACAAGUGCUAGUUAAAUAAGCUGGCACCUUGACGGUACCUAACCAGAAAGCCACGGCUAACUACGUGCCAGCAGCCGCGGUAAUACGUAGGUGGCAAGCGUUGUCCGGAAUUAUUGGGCGUAAAGCGCGCGCAGGCGGUUUCUUAAGUCUGAUGUGAAAGCCCCCGGCUCAACCGGGGAGGGUCAUUGGAAACUGGGAAACUUGAGUGCAGAAGAGGAAAGUGGAAUUCCAAGUGUAGCGGUGAAAUGCGUAGAGAUUUGGAGGAACACCAGUGGCGAAGGCGACUUUCUGGUCUGUAACUGACGCUGAGGCGCGAAAGCGUGGGGAGCAAACAGGAUUAGAUACCCUGGUAGUCCACGCUGUAAACGAUGAGUGCUAAGUGUUAGAGGGUUUCCGCCCUUUAGUGCUGAAGUUAACGCAUUAAGCACUCCGCCUGGGGANCGGUCGCAAGCUGAAACUCAAAGNAGCGCGNGNGAGAGCGACGACGACGACGACGGAGGAG